RNAcentral lists this ribosomal RNA (237 nucleotides) under Triticum aestivum (bread wheat). RNAcentral describes it as "partial small subunit ribosomal RNA". The record is from RNAcentral. Lineage: Eukaryota; Viridiplantae; Streptophyta; Magnoliopsida; Poales; Poaceae.
AUGGCAAAGAGUCUCGCAGUGGCCCUCCUUCUACUGGUGGUGCUCGCGCACUGCGACGGGAGGGAGCUGAGCGCCAAGGACCACGCACUUGAAGGUUCCGGUGCCGGUGCCGGUGGCGUCCAAGAGUCCAAGGCGUCAGGGUCGCCAGGCUUGCCGAUUGUGGGAACGACACCUACGGGCACCAGUACCAUUAACGGCCCGCUGGUGGUGAUUCCUGGGGUCCCAGUUCACCAAUGA